RNAcentral lists this ribosomal RNA (293 nucleotides) under uncultured bacterium. RNAcentral's name for it is "partial 16S ribosomal RNA". It matches the Rfam family "Bacterial small subunit ribosomal RNA", at positions 505 to 796 of the family's 1533-position model. The record is from RNAcentral.
GUGCCAGCAGCCGCGGUAAUACGUAGGUGGCGAGCGUUAUCCGGAUUUAUUGGGUUUAAAGGGUGCGUAGGCGGCUGAUUAAGUCAGCGGUGAAAGGUAGCAGCUUAACUGUUUUACAUGCCGUUGAUACUGGUUAGCUUGAGUUAACAGAAGGCAGAUAGAAUUUCUGGUGUAGCGGUGAAAUGCUUAGAUACCAGGAGGAAUACCGAUUGCGAAGGCAGUCUGCUGCAGUUACACUGACGCUGAGGCACGAAAGUGCGGGGAUCAAACAGGAUUAGAAACCCCUGUAGUCC